CCCUUAGAUGUUCUGGGCCGCACGCGCGCUACACUGAUGCAUUCAACGAGUCUAAAACCUGGUCUGAUAGGGCUGGGUAAUCUUUUGAAUGUGCAUCGUGAUUGGGAUAGAUGAUUGCAAUUCUUCAUCUUCAACGAGGAAUGCCUAGUAAACGCAAGUCAUCAGCUUGCAUUGAUUACGUCCCUGCCCUUUGUACACACCGCCCGUCGCUCCUACCGAUUGAUUGUUCCGAUGAAUACCAUGGACUGAGAGUAUGAAUGGGUUCGCCUAUUUCUGCUUCUCGGGAAGUGGAGUAAAUCUUAACAUUUAGAGGAAGGAGAAGUCGUAACA
RNAcentral lists this ribosomal RNA (330 nucleotides) under uncultured eukaryote. RNAcentral describes it as "partial 18S ribosomal RNA". It matches the Rfam family "Eukaryotic small subunit ribosomal RNA", at positions 1470 to 1796 of the family's 1831-position model. The record is from RNAcentral.